UGCAAAUAAAGGCAUUAAAUAGAUGUACCACU
This 32-nucleotide non-coding RNA is filed under the name Rattus norvegicus (Norway rat). The record is from RNAcentral. Lineage: Eukaryota; Metazoa; Chordata; Mammalia; Rodentia; Muridae.